Molecule: ribosomal RNA, 319 nt
Filed under: uncultured eukaryote
Lineage: Eukaryota
Description: partial 18S ribosomal RNA
Rfam family: Eukaryotic small subunit ribosomal RNA
Source: RNAcentral
CCCUUAGAUGUUCUGGGCAGCACGCGCGCUACAAUGGUCUUCGCAAACGGAUGCAUUCUCGAAGGAGAAUGCCAAUCUUGGAAUCUAUGCCUUGGUCGGGACAGUUGCUUGCAAUUUUUCGACUCGAACCAGGAAUUCCUUGUAAUCGUGAUUCAUCACAUCACGAUGAAUACGUCCCUGCCCUUUGUACACACCGCCCGUCGCUCCUACCGAUCGAAGAGUUAGGUGAAUUGUUUUGAUCGAUAAGAUUUGACUAUGGUCAACUCACGUUGUGAAAUUCUGUGAAUCUGACUGUUUAGAGGAAGGAAAAGUCGUAACA